GACGAACGCUGGCGGCGUGCCUAAGACAUGCAAGUCGAGCGGAGCGUGGGGCUUCGGCCUCAUGCUUAGCGGCGGACGGGUGAGUAACACGUGGAUAACCUGCCCUCAUCUCUGGGAUAACAGGCCGAAAGGCGUGCUAAUACCGGAUGAGCUCACGACCCCGCAUGGGGAUGGGAGAAAAGGCGCCUUGGCGCCGGAUGAGGAGGGGUCCGCGGCCCAUUAGCUAGUUGGUAGGGUAACGGCCUACCAAGGCGACGAUGGGUAGCCGGCCUGAGAGGGCGACCGGCCACACUGGGACUGAGACACGGCCCAGACUCCUACGGGAGGCAGCAGUCGGGAAUAUUGCACAAUGGGCGAAAGCCUGAUGCAGCGACGCCGCGUGAGCGAAGAAGGCCUGAUGUAAGACUCUGUGCCGUCGACGAAGGACGCAUCAGGAAGUGGGUGCGGGGAGGACGGGUAGGCGGGCGGAGGAAGGCCCGGCCGAACCUACCGUCGCCACGCAGCC
RNAcentral lists this ribosomal RNA (505 nucleotides) under uncultured bacterium. Its description in RNAcentral is "bacterial SSU rRNA". It matches the Rfam family "Bacterial small subunit ribosomal RNA", at positions 28 to 516 of the family's 1533-position model. The record is from RNAcentral.